ACCUGAGGACAUACAGACAGGUGAGCUGAGGACAGACAGACAGGUGAGCUGAGGACAGACAGACAGGUGAGCUGAGGACAGACAGACAGGUGAGCUGAGGACAGACAGACAGGUGAGCUGAGGACAGACAGACAGGUGAGCUGAGGACAGACAGACAGGUGAGCUGAGGACAGACAGACAGGUGAGCUGAGGACAUACAGACAGGUGAGCUGAGGACAGACAGACAGGUGAGCUGAGGACAGACAGACAGGUGAGCUGAGGACAGACAGACAGGUGAGCUGAGGACAGACAGACAGGUGAGCUGAGGACAGACAGACAGCCGAGCUGAGGACAGACAGACAGCCGAGCUGAGGACAGACAGACAGGUGAGCUGAGGACAGACAGACAGGUGAGCUGAGGACAGACAGACAGCCGAGCUGAGGACAGACAGACAGCCGAGCUGAGGACAGACAGACAGGUGAGCUGAGGACAGACAGACAGCCGAGCUGAGGACAGACAGACAGGUGAGCUGAGGACAGACAGACAGCCGAGCUGAGGACAGACAGACAGCCGAGCUGAGGACAGACAGACAGGUGAGCUGAGGACAGACAGACAGCCGAGCUGAGGACAGACAGACAGCCGAGCUGAGGACAGACAGACAGGUGAGCUGAGGACAGACAGACAGGUGAGCUGAGGACAGACAGACAGCCGAGCUGAGGACAGACAGACAGGUGAGCUGAGGACAGACAGACAGCCGAGCUGAGGACAGACAGACAGGUGAGCUGAGGACAGACAGACAGCCGAGCUGAGGACAGACAGACAGCCGAGCUGAGGACAGACAGACAGGUGAGCUGAGGACAGACAGACAGCCGAGCUGAGGACAGACAGACAGGUGAGCUGAGGACAGACAGACAGCCGAGCUGAGGACAGACAGACAGGUGAGCUGAGGACAGACAGACAGCCGAGCUGAGGACAGACAGACAGGUGAGCUGAGGACAGACAGACAGCCGAGCUGAGGACAGACAGACAGCCGAGCUGAGGACAGACAGACAGCCGAGCUGAGGACAGACAGACAGGUGAGCUGAGGACAGACAGACAGCCGAGCUGAGGACAGACAGACAGGUGAGCUGAGGACAGACAGACAGCCGAGCUGAGGACAGACAGACAGGUGAGCUGAGGACAGACAGACAGGUGAGCUGAGGACAGACAGACAGGUGAGCUGAGGACAGACAGACAGCCGAGCUGAGGACAGACAGACAGCCGAGCUGAGGACAGACAGACAGGUGAGCUGGAGAAGAUCAGUUUUUACCAUUUGGCAUCAAAGCGACACAGUUAUCUUCAUCGAUCCUGGUUCUGUACGACAGACCGUACACA
This is a long non-coding RNA of Acanthochromis polyacanthus (spiny chromis), 1353 nucleotides long. RefSeq lists it as uncharacterized. The transcript has 9 exons. Lineage: Eukaryota; Metazoa; Chordata; Actinopteri; Pomacentridae. The record is from RefSeq and is a predicted model, not a curated record.